CUCAUCCUCGUUUCCGGUAGUAGCGUUCCGAUCGGAGAUAUGAGUUUUUGUAUGCUCCAAGAGCUGAUGGAGUGAAGAGGCGAGACGCCUCAUAAGCGAGACGCAACAUAAGCGAAAUGCCUCACAAGCGGGGCGCCUCACAGGCGAGACGCCUCACAGAGGGGCACUUCAAAAAUUGGACGCUCCAAGAGCUGUUGGAGCGAAGAGCCGAUGAG
This 215-nucleotide long non-coding RNA is filed under the name Daucus carota (carrot). RNAcentral's name for it is "long non-coding RNA (DCAR_LNC007168)". Lineage: Eukaryota; Viridiplantae; Streptophyta; Magnoliopsida; Apiales; Apiaceae. The record is from RNAcentral.